This is a long non-coding RNA of Manacus vitellinus (golden-collared manakin), 171 nucleotides long. RefSeq lists it as uncharacterized. The transcript has 3 exons. The record is from RefSeq and is a predicted model, not a curated record. NCBI's taxonomy places the organism in Eukaryota, Metazoa, Chordata, Aves, Passeriformes, Pipridae.
GAAACAUGAACUCUGAACUUUACUUGCACAGCUUGUAGAAAUACAUCACAUUUCUGUGGUGCAGCAGAGUGGGAGGCAGAAAAUAUGAAUCUUAUUAGCAGUUUGGCCAAUGUCUUCCUACGUGAACAUGGCUACAGGUUCCUGAGAGACUACAUGUGAGGAUCACACUGA